Molecule: transfer RNA, 65 nt
Filed under: Dipodomys ordii (Ord's kangaroo rat)
Lineage: Eukaryota; Metazoa; Chordata; Mammalia; Rodentia; Heteromyidae
Rfam family: tRNA
About the family: Transfer RNA (tRNA) molecules are approximately 80 nucleotides in length. Their secondary structure includes four short double-helical elements and three loops (D, anti-codon, and T loops).
Source: Rfam by way of RNAcentral
GGUGGCUCAGUGGUAGAGCGCUUGCCUUGCUUGCAGGAGGCCCUAGGUUCAAUUCCUCAGCACCA